AGCAAAGUCAAGCACAAUACCUGCCGC
RNAcentral lists this non-coding RNA (27 nucleotides) under Bombyx mori (domestic silkworm). The record is from RNAcentral. Lineage: Eukaryota; Metazoa; Arthropoda; Insecta; Lepidoptera; Bombycidae.